ACAACAGCUCUCAUGGAUCUAAUCGGCUGUAUUUUCUUUUUGUUGCUGAACGCUGUGGUUAGCUUCGUACCUACGCUGGCUGCGAACAAUGGCAGGCUUCGGCCCAUCACUUUUAUCAUCCCUCUACAACACGAAGUUGUUUAUUGGGUUGAAGUCUUCCAUUGGGUUUCAAGCUGCGGAGCUUCCACUUGUUCGUACGUUGCUUGCAGUCAUGUAACAUUAACGACAUUGUUCUUUAAGCUCACAUUAUCUCCCAAUUUGCUACCAUGAAAUGAUUGAUCUAUGCAUAUCAUCAUUCUUCUUUCA
Cucurbita pepo subsp. pepo (vegetable marrow) is the source of this 306-nucleotide long non-coding RNA. RefSeq lists it as uncharacterized. NCBI's taxonomy places the organism in Eukaryota, Viridiplantae, Streptophyta, Magnoliopsida, Cucurbitales, Cucurbitaceae. The record is from RefSeq and is a predicted model, not a curated record.